Molecule: ribosomal RNA, 650 nt
Filed under: uncultured bacterium
Lineage: Bacteria
Description: bacterial SSU rRNA
Rfam family: Bacterial small subunit ribosomal RNA
Source: RNAcentral
GCAGUCGAACGGCAGCACGGGAGCAAUCCUGGUGGCGAGUGGCGAACGGGUGAGUAAUGUAUCGGAACGUGCCCAGUCGUGGGGGAUAACGCAGCGAAAGCUGUGCUAAUACCGCAUACGAUCUAUGGAUGAAAGCGGGGGAUCGCAAGACCUCGCGCGAUUGGAGCGGCCGAUAUCAGAUUAGGUAGUUGGUGAGGUAAAGGCUCACCAAGCCGACGAUCUGUAGCUGGUCUGAGAGGACGACCAGCCACACUGGGACUGAGACACGGCCCAAACUCUUACGGGAGGCAGCAGUGGGGAAUUUUGGACAAUGGGCGCAAGCCUGAUCCAGCAAUGCCGCGUGCAGGACGAAGGCCUUCGGGUUGUAAACUGCUUUUGUACGGAGCGAAAAGGCUCUCUCUAAUACAGGGGGCUCAUGACGGUACCGUAAGAAUAAGCACCGGCUAACUACGUGCCAGCAGCCGCGGUAAUACGUAGGGUGCAAGCGUUAAUCGGAAUUACUGGGCGUAAAGCGUGCGCAGGCGGUUAUGUAAGACAGAGGUGAAAUCCCCGGGCUCAACCUGGGAACUGCCUUUGUGACUGCAUAGCUAGAGUACGGCAGAGGGGGAUGGAAUUCCGCGUGUAGCAGUGAAAUGCGUAGAUAUGCGGAG